GGUUCGAUCAUGGCUCGAUUGAACGCUGGCGGGAUGCUUUACAUGCAAGUCGAACGGCAGCACUGACUUCGGUCUGGUGGCGAGUGGCGAACGGGUGAGUAAUGCAUCGGAACGCGUAGUAGCGGGGGAUAACUACGCGAAAGCGUAGCUAAUACUGCACAUUGCCCUUCGGGAAAGCGGGGGGACCUCGGGCCUCGCAAUUAUUAGAGCGGCCGGAUAUCGGAUUAGCUAGUUGGUGGGGUAAAAUGGCCUACUCAAGGCGACGAUCCGUAGCUGGUUUGAGAGGACGACCAGCCACACUGGGACUGAGACACGGCCCAGACUCUACGGGAGGCAGCAGUGGGAAUUUUGGACAAUGGGGGAACCCUGAUCCAGCCAUCCCGCGUGCGAUGAAGGCCUUCGGGUUGUAAAGCACUUUUUGGCAGGAAAAGAAACGGCACGGGAUAAUACCCCGUGCAACUGACGGUACCUGCAGAAUAAGCACCGGCUAACUACGUGCCAGCAGCCGCGGUAAUACGUGUAGGGGUGCAGCGUUAACGGAAUUACUGGGCGUAAAAGCGUGCAGGCGGUUCGGAAAGAAAGAUGUGAAAUCCCAGAGCUUAACUUUGGAACUGCAUUUAACUACCGAGCUAGAGUGUGUCAGAGGGAGGUGGAAUUCGCGUGUAGCAGUGAAAUGCGUAGAUAUGCGGAGGAACACCGAUGGCGAAGGCAGCCUCCUGGGAUAACACUGACGCUCAUGCACGAAAGCGUGGGGAGCAAACAGGAUUAGAUACUAUGAGUCUGCCGCCCUAAACGAUGUCAACUGACUGUUAAGUCUUCGGCCUGUGGCGCGGGCAACGCGUGUUGACCGCACCAGAAAGAUGGACGCAUUAAAACUCAAAAAUUGACG
Molecule: unclassified non-coding RNA, 889 nt
Filed under: uncultured Bordetella sp.
Lineage: Bacteria; Pseudomonadati; Pseudomonadota; Betaproteobacteria; Burkholderiales; Alcaligenaceae
Description: partial 16S-23S ribosomal RNA intergenic spacer
Rfam family: Bacterial small subunit ribosomal RNA
Source: RNAcentral